UAACGUCGAGAAAUCGGCGCUAAUACCUCAUAAUGCAGCGGAUCCGCAUGGAUAUGUUGUUAAGGUUUACCGCCUUGGGAUAGGCUUGCGUCUGAUUAGCUAGUUGGUGUGGUAACGGCACACCAAGGCUACGAUCAGUAACUGGUCUGAGAGGAUGAUCAGUCACACUGGAACUGAGACACGGUCCAGACUCCUACGGGAGGCAGCAGUGAGGAAUAUUGGGCAAUGCUCGAAAGAGUGACCCAGCAACGCCGCGUGGAGGAUGAAGGUAUUCUAUAUCGUAAACUCCUGUGAGAGCAGACGAAAGACAGAUUAUUAAUCUGGAUGACUGUAUGCUCAGAGGAAGCCCCGGCUAACUACGUG
Molecule: ribosomal RNA, 363 nt
Filed under: uncultured bacterium
Lineage: Bacteria
Description: bacterial SSU rRNA
Rfam family: Bacterial small subunit ribosomal RNA
Source: RNAcentral